Non-coding RNA from Danio rerio (zebrafish), 891 nucleotides. NCBI's taxonomy places the organism in Eukaryota, Metazoa, Chordata, Actinopteri, Cypriniformes, Danionidae. The record is from Ensembl.
CAUGGAUUGGCAAUUUUUCAUCAUCUUCACAGUUUAAUUCUGUUGGCCAUUUCCCACUGAUAAGAAAACGAUGAUUAAAGACUUUAUCUGCACCAGCUGUUGUGCCGGUUUAAUGGCAGUUUCAGACCUGAUGGCGGGACAUCUGGACCCUGAUGGGGCUGUUGAUCUAUGUGUGAGGAAUUGGACUGGAAGAACUGUCUCUCUCCCACAAUCCUCGGCGUUGUUUCUCCAUAUGGUUCCCGCAGGAUCCUGACAGCCACAUUACGGAGCAUUGUACAGUAUUCCUGUAUCCAUUUCCACAUAAGAAAGAAAGUCAUACAGCUUUGGAAUGACAUGAGCAUUCUGUUUUCCUCGUCAUGUACCUGACUCGACGAAGCAGUCAAAUCUUUGUAAAUUUUUGAAGAGCGCUGAGGUCUGCUGCAGCUCAGGGGAAUAAAGCGCUGACCCAGAAUCAGUAGUGACGUCCUCAUCAUCAUCAUGAGUGCUGACAGCAGCCUGCGCUCGGCCGACAGCCACUACAACAACAACAGCAGCAGCAGUAGCAAAUGAAGGAGAACACGACCUUAAAACGACCUCUCCGAACCCCUGCUGUCCUGACCGACACUCAAAUGAGCGGUGAAUUGGGCUGAGGGGAAUCUGAGGGCAUGCAUUUUCUUCCUUUUUAAUUCUGUGAGCCUCUACACACUGGAUGGUGGAUUUGGAAUGACAGGAAAAGCCAUUUUUGUAAUUGCGAUGGAAAUUCACAUUUGCCCAACACUGCUUAAUGACAAUUAAAUCCAUUUUGAAUACUAAAUUUAGGAAAAUGCUAUAUGUUUUCCCAAGAAUAUUUAUAUAUUUGAAAAAAUUUCCCAAGUGAUGUUUAAAGAUUUUUUCAACACACAUCUAAAUAUA